AUGCUAUUCCCUCUGUUGCACAAUACAUGCCUUCUAUUUGUCAAAAUAUAUAUGUAUCUAGACAUGUUUUAGUAUAUAGGUACAUCCAUUUUUGGACAAAUGGAAGUCAAGUAUUUUGGAACGGAGGGAGUACACA
Molecule: non-coding RNA, 136 nt
Organism: Triticum aestivum (bread wheat)
Lineage: Eukaryota; Viridiplantae; Streptophyta; Magnoliopsida; Poales; Poaceae
Source: Rfam